CCUACGGGUGGCAGCAGUGGGGGAUAUUGCACAAUGGGGGAAACCCUGAUGCAGCGACGCCGCGUGGGUGAAGAAGCGCCUCGGCGCGUAAAGCCCUGUCAGCAGGGAAGAAAAUGACGGUACCUGAAGAAGAAGCCCCGGCUAACACCGAGCAAGCAGCCGCGGUAAUACGGGGGAGGCCAGCGUUAUCCGGAUUUUAUGGGUUGAAAGGGUGCGUAGGCUGUGAGGUAAGUCAGCGGGGAAAUGCCCCCGCUCAACGGGGUGAAGUGCCAGUGAUACUGGCGUGCUGGAGUGCGGAUGCCGUGGGAGGAAUGUGUGGUGUAGCGGUGAAAUGCAUAGAUAUCGCACAGAACACCGAUUGCGAAGGCAGCUCACGAAUCCGCGAUUGACGCUGAUGCACGAAAGCGUGGGUAUCAAACAGGAUUAGAUACCCCAGUAGUC
This 441-nucleotide ribosomal RNA is filed under the name uncultured bacterium. Its description in RNAcentral is "partial 16S ribosomal RNA". It matches the Rfam family "Bacterial small subunit ribosomal RNA", at positions 338 to 795 of the family's 1533-position model. The record is from RNAcentral.